CACGCUGUAAACGAUGAGUGCUAGGUGUCGGUAGUCAAAUAUCGGUGCCGUAGUUAACGCAAUAAGCACUCCGCCUGGGGAGUACGUGCGCAAGCAUGAAACUCAAAGGAAUUGACGGGGACCCGCACAAGCAGCGGAGCAUGUGGUUUAAUUCGAUGCAACGCGAAGAACCUUACCAGGGCUUGACAUAUAUGCGCUAGCACUAGAGAUAGUGGGUUCUCUUCGGAGACGUAUAUACAGGUGG
This 244-nucleotide ribosomal RNA is filed under the name uncultured Eubacteriales bacterium. Its description in RNAcentral is "uncultured Clostridiales bacterium partial 16S ribosomal RNA". It matches the Rfam family "Bacterial small subunit ribosomal RNA", at positions 796 to 1041 of the family's 1533-position model. The record is from RNAcentral. Lineage: Bacteria; Bacillati; Bacillota; Clostridia; Eubacteriales.